UCCUGCUCUCACGAGAGAGAAGUCAGCACAGAUCCUUGUCGAUCCCUGCGUGACACUGUAGGAUUGGGUUCCUGAGCACGCCUGGCUGGUCGGGGGAGUCCCAACCGGUAUAAACAGCAGCCUGCCUCAGGCCCAGACUGAGUUUUCUCUCCUUUGACAUCCAAUCAGCUCUUCCACAUGGUGACAUCCCCGCUGGGUGAGCUGUGGUUGCUUCUCACAUCGCUUCCAUACUGGUGAACAGAGCGAUUAUUUGCAGGACCAAGUGACCCCCUAGACUACAUCCUACUACACAACCUGCCUUCCCUAGACUCUGCCCUGCUGGAUGGACAGGGGAGGACAAAACCCUGCAUUAGCGGGGUCCGUAAUUUUGAGAUUGGGAAA
Chelonoidis abingdonii (Abingdon island giant tortoise) is the source of this 381-nucleotide non-coding RNA. NCBI's taxonomy places the organism in Eukaryota, Metazoa, Chordata, Testudines, Testudinidae. The record is from RefSeq and is a predicted model, not a curated record.